GAUAGUUACUCCGUUGAUAACCUUGGAAGAAUGAAAAGCUAGAUUGGCCUACCAGCAACAGAACCUGCAACCCUGGGAUUUAGCAGGUCCUAUAGUUCAUUGAUUUACUGACAUACAGACAUGAGAAAAAAGACACCCUAUUUUAAUUCGUUCAUUUUACAUAUCAGGACAUAACAAUAAUCUGUUCCUUAGCAGGUCUUAAAUUAGGUAAAUACAGCCUCAG
Molecule: non-coding RNA, 223 nt
Organism: Pelobates cultripes (western spadefoot toad)
Lineage: Eukaryota; Metazoa; Chordata; Amphibia; Anura; Pelobatidae
Source: the annotation of a GenBank genome assembly